This 282-nucleotide ribosomal RNA is filed under the name uncultured Microbispora sp. RNAcentral's name for it is "partial 16S ribosomal RNA". It matches the Rfam family "Bacterial small subunit ribosomal RNA", at positions 896 to 1172 of the family's 1533-position model. Lineage: Bacteria; Bacillati; Actinomycetota; Actinomycetes; Streptosporangiales; Streptosporangiaceae. The record is from RNAcentral.
UAAACUCAAAGGAAUUGACGGGGGCCCGCACAAGCGGCGGAGCAUGUUGCUUAAUUCGACGCAACGCGAAGAACCUUACCAAGGUUCGACAUACACCGGAAAGCUCUGGAGACAGAGCCCUCCUUUGGACUGGUGUACAGGUGGUGCAUGGCUGUCGUCAGCUCGUGUCGUGAGAUGUUGGGUUAAGUCCCGCAACGAGCGCAACCCUUGUUCCAUGUUGCCAGCACGCCCUUUGGGGUGGUGGGGACUCAUGGGAGACUGCCGGGGUCAACUCGGAGGAAG